CCAACGGCCCUCUUUAGGGCCACAAAUGCACUCGAAUACUCUUGAU
Ancylostoma ceylanicum is the source of this 46-nucleotide non-coding RNA. Lineage: Eukaryota; Metazoa; Nematoda; Chromadorea; Rhabditida; Ancylostomatidae. The record is from Rfam.